This 53-nucleotide ribosomal RNA is filed under the name Petrocodon hancei. RNAcentral's name for it is "partial 18S ribosomal RNA". It matches the Rfam family "Eukaryotic small subunit ribosomal RNA", at positions 1780 to 1831 of the family's 1831-position model. The record is from RNAcentral. Lineage: Eukaryota; Viridiplantae; Streptophyta; Magnoliopsida; Lamiales; Gesneriaceae.
UUUUAGAAGUUCGUAACAAGGUUUCCGUAGGUGAACCUGCGGAAGGAUCAUUG